Molecule: ribosomal RNA, 460 nt
Filed under: uncultured bacterium
Lineage: Bacteria
Description: partial 16S ribosomal RNA
Rfam family: Bacterial small subunit ribosomal RNA
Source: RNAcentral
CCUACGGGUGGCAGCAGUGAGGAAUAUUGGUCAAUGGACGAGAGCCUGAACCAGCCAAGUAGCGUGAAGGAUGACUGCCCUAUGGGUUGUAAACUUCUUUUAUAAAGGAAUAAAACGAGGCACGUGUGCCUUUUUGCAUGUACUUUAUGAAUAAGGAUCGGCUAACUCCGUGCCAGCAGCCGCGGUAAUACGGAGGGUCUGAGCGUUAUCCGGAUUUAUUGGGUUUAAAGGGAGCGUAGAUGGGUUGUUAAGUCAGUUGUGAAAGUUUGCGGCUCAACCGUAAAAUUGCAAUUGAUACUGGCAGGCUUGAGUACAGUUGAGGUAGGCGGAAUUCGUGGUGUAGCGGUGAAAUGCUUAGAUAUCACGAAGAACCCCGAUUGCGAAGGCAGCUUACUAAACUGUGACUGACAUUGAUGCUCGAAAGUGUGGGUAUCAAACAGGAUUAGAUACCCGAGUAGUC